Molecule: ribosomal RNA, 683 nt
Filed under: Microbacterium sp.
Lineage: Bacteria; Bacillati; Actinomycetota; Actinomycetes; Micrococcales; Microbacteriaceae
Description: bacterial SSU rRNA
Rfam family: Bacterial small subunit ribosomal RNA
Source: RNAcentral
GUGGCGAACGGGUGAGUAACACGUGAGCAACCUGCCCUGGACUCUGGGAUAAGCGCUGGAAACGGCGUCUAAUACUGGAUAUGAGACGUGAUCGCAUGGUCGUGUUUGGAAAGAUUUUUCGGUCUGGGAUGGGCUCGCGGCCUAUCAGCUUGUUGGUGAGGUAAUGGCUCACCAAGGCGUCGACGGGUAGCCGGCCUGAGAGGGUGACCGGCCACACUGGGACUGAGACACGGCCCAGACUCCUACGGGAGGCAGCAGUGGGGAAUAUUGCACAAUGGGCGGAAGCCUGAUGCAGCAACGCCGCGUGAGGGAUGACGGCCUUCGGGUUGUAAACCUCUUUUAGCAGGGAAGAAGCGAAAGUGACGGUACCUGCAGAAAAAGCGCCGGCUAACUACGUGCCAGCAGCCGCGGUAAUACGUAGGGCGCAAGCGUUAUCCGGAAUUAUUGGGCGUAAAGAGCUCGUAGGCGGUUUGUCGCGUCUGCUGUGAAAUCCCGAGGCUCAACCUCGGGUCUGCAGUGGGUACGGGCAGACUAGAGUGCGGUAGGGGAGAUUGGAAUUCCUGGUGUAGCGGUGGAAUGCGCAGAUAUCAGGAGGAACACCGAUGGCGAAGGCAGAUCUCUGGGCCGUAACUGACGCUGAGGAGCGAAAGGGUGGGGAGCAAACAGGCUUAGAUACCCUGGUA